This 489-nucleotide ribosomal RNA is filed under the name uncultured bacterium. RNAcentral's name for it is "partial 16S ribosomal RNA". It matches the Rfam family "Bacterial small subunit ribosomal RNA", at positions 30 to 507 of the family's 1533-position model. The record is from RNAcentral.
AUUGAACGCUGGCGGCAGGCCUAACACAUGCAAGUCGAACGGUAACAGGAAGCAGCUUGCUGCUUCGCUGACGAGUGGCGGACGGGUGAGUAAUGUCUGGGAAACUGCCUGAUGGAGGGGGAUAACUACUGGAAACGGUAGCUAAUACCGCAUAACGUCGCAAGACCAAAGAGGGGACCUUAGGGCCUCUUGCCAUCGGAUGUGCCCAGAUGGGAUUAGCUAGUAGGUGGGGUAACGGCUCACCUAGGCGACGAUCCCUAGCUGGUCUGAGAGGAUGACCAGCCACACUGGAACUGAGACACGGUCCAGACUCCUACGGGAGGCAGCAGUGGGGAAUAUUGCACAAUGGGCGCAAGCCUGAUGCAGCCAUGCCGCGUGUAUGAAGAAGGCCUUCGGGUUGUAAAGUACUUUCAGCGGGGAGGAAGGGAGUAAAGUUAAUACCUUUGCUCAUUGACGUUACCCGCAGAAGAAGCACCGGCUAACUCCGUG